GGCUGCAUAGCUCAACAGGUCAGAGCACAGAGCACCGCAAGCGAGCGGGAUCCCGGUUCGAACCCGGGUGCAGUACA
RNAcentral lists this transfer RNA (77 nucleotides) under Caudoviricetes sp. RNAcentral describes it as "tRNA-OTHER". The record is from RNAcentral. Lineage: Duplodnaviria; Heunggongvirae; Uroviricota; Caudoviricetes.